CGCGUAGGUGGUUGUGUAAGUCGGAUGUGAAAUCCCCAGGCUCAACUUGGGAACCGCAUCCGAUACUGCAUGACUCGAGUGCAGCAGAGGGAAACGGAAUUCCUGGUGUAGAGGUGAAAUUCGUAGAUAUCAGGAGGAACACCGGUGGCGAAGGCGGUUUCCUGGGCUGACACUGACACUGAGGCGCGAAAGCGUGGGUAGCAAACAGGAUUAGAUACCCUGGUAGUCCACGCUGUAAACGGUGAGUGCUGGGUGUGGGAGGUGUAAUGCCUUCUGUGCCGAAGCUAACGCGUUAAGCACUCCGCCUGGGGAGUACGGGCCGCAAGGUUGAA
Molecule: ribosomal RNA, 332 nt
Filed under: uncultured bacterium
Lineage: Bacteria
Description: bacterial SSU rRNA
Rfam family: Bacterial small subunit ribosomal RNA
Source: RNAcentral